CUCGAACAUCUUAUUCUCCUUCUUGCUCCACUCCGAGUAUGAGCUCGGCGAGGAGCUCCGCGGUGACCCAGAAGACAUCCUUGGAGCAGGCAGCAGUUACCACUCACUCGAUAUGAUACAUGUAAAUGGACGGCGAGUGCUCAGGUUUCACAAGGGGAAAAAACCGAAGUGCUCUGGAUGCGCAUGCACCCUCUCCAGCUCAGUUACUACACCAGCUAGCUGUAGCUGGCCUUACUCACAAGUAAAAACAUUUUGACAAACAGUACUAGCUGUAGCAGUUACGAAGCAUGGAUCGAUGCUGCAUGCUCUGCUCACGUCACCAACGGAAGCAUGCAUCUCUGGAUGCAUGGCGAUAUCUUAGCCGUGUGUGAUCCUGACAUUGAUUGGCAGAGAGCUCUCCAUGUAAGGCGUACGCAUCAACCAAUAGGAUGCAAGGCGCCCGCAGGAGGAGAACUGAGAUGUGAAGAAAGGACCCUCGGAAUUCAGAGAAGUUUAGGGAACACCAUGAUUGAUUCAUCCAUUUGAGAGAGGAAAAAUGGCAGGGAUGUGGGCUAAGAGCCUCCAUUCUUUACAUGUCGCGUGAUCUCCGCCACCCGGUCGACGAACAGAUUCCAAAGAGGCAAUGAACACCCUCUAGCUCCGGGGACCGAAGGAAUAUAUCUAUCUCAACAUGUGUAUCUUUCCAUCUCCAAUGGUCUUGGAAAGGGAAUUGACAAAAUGCCAUCCUGUCCUGCUUGCUUGUUGCUUGCCCAAUGAGUCCUUGGAGGCUGGGAUUUGCAUCGGAUACACUGGACCGGACCGGGACGGUGGGUGCAACUUGCGUCGGGUUUGAUUCUUGCGGGCGUGUGGAUCGGUCCACCAUCCGUCCACCAGAGAUCUGUUCAUUGGAAUCAUAUCUGCGUAAAAUCUAAAGAAGCAGGAUUCCCCGUCAUAUUUCGAACAAUCGGAGCAAAAGGCUUAUCAGGGAGAUGCUAGGUAGUGCAUGCCUGUUCCAUGUAUUAAUUUUGCUGUCAUUUUGUGCAAACUAGUAAAGCAUACUUAUUUCAUGUGUUUCCACAAACAUAUUUUCCAUAAUUCAUGUACUGUAUUAAUUUCGCUGUCACUUUGUGCAAA
This is a long non-coding RNA of Hordeum vulgare subsp. vulgare (domesticated barley), 1113 nucleotides long. RefSeq lists it as uncharacterized. NCBI's taxonomy places the organism in Eukaryota, Viridiplantae, Streptophyta, Magnoliopsida, Poales, Poaceae. The transcript is spliced from 3 exons. The record is from RefSeq and is a predicted model, not a curated record.